GAGGAAAGCUGGGGGCGUGCCUAAUACAUGCAAGUCGAGCGAACAGACGAGGUGCUUGCUCCUCUGACGUUAGCGGCGGACGGGUGAGUAACACGUGGAUAACCUACCUAUAAGACUGGGAUAACUUCGGGAAACCGGAGCUAAUACCGGAUAAAAUAUUGAACCGCAUGGUUCAAUAGUGAAAGACGGUUUUGCUGCACCUUAUAGAUGGAUCCGCGCCUCUUUAGCUAUUUGGUAAGGUAACGGCUUACCAAGGCAACGUAGCGAAGCCGACCUGGGAGGGGGUCGGGCACAUCGGGAACGGGAACACGGCCCAAACCCCUACGGGAGGCGGCGGAAGGGAAUCUUCCGCAAUGAGGAAAAGCCUGACGGGGCAACGCCGCGUGGUUAAUGAGGGUCUUCGAACCGUAAAACUCCGUUAUUAAGAAAAAACAAAUGUGGAAUUGACUAUGCACGUCUUGACGGUAACUAAUCAGAAAGCCACGGCUAACUACGUG
Molecule: ribosomal RNA, 497 nt
Filed under: uncultured bacterium
Lineage: Bacteria
Description: partial 16S ribosomal RNA
Rfam family: Bacterial small subunit ribosomal RNA
Source: RNAcentral